UACGUAGGUGGCAAGCGUUGUCCGGAUUUAUUGGGUUUAAAGGGUGCGUAGGCGGUUCUAUAAGUCAGUGGUGAAAUCCGGCAGCUCAACUGUCGAUGUGCCAUUGAUACUGCAGAACUUGAGUACAGACGAGGUAGGCGGAAUUGACGGUGUAGCGGUGAAAUGCUUAGAUAUCGUCAAGAACACCAGUGGCGAAGGCGGCUCACUGGCCCGAUACUGACGCUGAGGCACGAAAGCGUGGGGAGCAAACAGG
RNAcentral lists this ribosomal RNA (253 nucleotides) under uncultured bacterium. RNAcentral describes it as "partial 16S ribosomal RNA". It matches the Rfam family "Bacterial small subunit ribosomal RNA", at positions 524 to 776 of the family's 1533-position model. The record is from RNAcentral.